CCCAUGCAUCGAAUCGAAACCCAUCUACGAACGCGUGUGGUUUCAACUCUCAUAGAUCAAACCGAACACAAGCGUUAAUCCUCUCUCUCUCGCUCUCCUUUUUUUUUUCUUCACAGCAAAACUAAAGAGAAUUUCUUUGCUUUCUUUGUCGUAUUGUUAUUCUCUCUCUUUCUCUUUCUCCUAAGCCCUCAAGAAUUCAACUUUUUCGUAUUCAUGAAAGCUAAGCUCUAUCUUACAAGGUUGGUUUUGGCACGUGGGUUUUAACGUUCAAGUUCUUCUAUGAAGAUGGACACUACUCUUUUGGAUAAUGGCAUGGAGGGCAUUGAAGAUGAAUCUGCUGAACAAUUACU
Durio zibethinus is the source of this 350-nucleotide non-coding RNA. NCBI's taxonomy places the organism in Eukaryota, Viridiplantae, Streptophyta, Magnoliopsida, Malvales, Malvaceae. The record is from RefSeq and is a predicted model, not a curated record.